Molecule: ribosomal RNA, 253 nt
Filed under: uncultured bacterium
Lineage: Bacteria
Description: partial 16S ribosomal RNA
Rfam family: Bacterial small subunit ribosomal RNA
Source: RNAcentral
UACGAGGGGUCCAAGCGUUGUUCGGAAUCCUUGGGCGUAAAGCGGGUGUAGGUGGCUUUGUAAGUCAGGAGUGAAAGCCCCGGGCUCAACCUGGGAAUGGCAAUGGAUACUGGCAAGCUAGAGUGCGGUAGAGGGUAGUGGAAUUCCCGGUGUAGCGGUGAAAUGCGUAGAGAUCGGGAGGAACACCAGUGGCGAAGGCGGCUACCUGGACCAGCACUGACACUGAGGCACGAAAGCGUGGGGAGCAAACAGG